CUACAAUGGAUAAGGCUGUUUCUUCCUCCGCCUGUAGAGAGCAAGAGAAAAUCUCCAAGCUCUGAAGAGUGCAUGAGAGUAACUUGUCCUGAGCUUUUGGCCGGAACAAUGGUUUAGUGGUUAAGGUGUUGGCCGCUCAACCUGAGGUUUGUGGGUUCAAGCUCCACUAAGGACAUGACUACAUCACCAGUACUGGUUUUACAAGGAAGCAGGCUCAAGAGUGGUUAAAAUAAAUUUGAAGCUUUCAUCACAAUCCUGGUGUAACAAAUUAGUAUAAACUAAAGACAUAACUGAAGGCAAACUGACAUGUUGUGCAAACACUACACUGGCUCCAAACCUUGAUGCUGCUUGUUUGAAUAUAAUUCACAGCUUUGUUUUCAACAAAUUCAAUACCUAGACACUGACCUGUUCACCAAGAGGACCGGCUCUCUUGGUAAUAAUACCACCAGAAGUCAUCAGGGGACUGGUAGUGCGUGAGCCCUUACUGGACGAUGAUAGUGUUGGCGACUGAACUUCUUCAGAACUUUCAUCUGCUCUACCCUGAUCUGUGGAACAUGAUGCAAAAAUUAAGAUAUAACCAAGCAUUAUCAAUCUACUUGUACAAAAAAUAUAAAGCCUUAUGAUGAUCAAGUUCUUCCCCACCGACAUAAUUUCUGGCACAACUGGUCACCAGGGCGGAGCAGCUAGCAAGAUGAAAAGCUUUCCCAUGUGGAAUGAUUUAACUACCAAAGCAGUGAUCCGAAAAUGAGUGGCAUGUGUUCCUGAGCAUGUGUGGGUACCUGAGUAGAGCAAUCAACAUUCUGUGAGCCAACUGGAUGAUUACCUCACACGAAAGAAAUCAACAACCUAAAUGAGGUUUCAAACUCACAUCAGUGAGGGACAAAAGAAAUCAGUGACUUAAACCAGUCUGUCACACAGGUCCCUCUGUCUGGUUUUAAGUUACAUAACACAGUUAUUGGUAAAUGGGAACUUUUCAGCUUAAAUGCUGAAAGAAGACCAAAGGUACCUUCCUAGGCAUUAGAUGAUUCAAACUCAGUGAAGUUAACUAUGCAGCCCAUGGAAACUCCAAACUGAGAAAGGGAUCAAGAAGUCUAUUUAAUUUUAAUACUGUUUGAAAGUCAAUGUACAUGGAAAAGUUACAGAAAAGCCCUUUUCAAAUUUAAAAAUACAAAACUUCAACAUUUCAGCAGAUAGGCAAUACAGUGAACUAUAACAAAAAGUAUUAAGUAUUGUUCAUUUAACAUAUAGUCAAACUUCAACAAGCAGAAAAUAAUAUGAACUCCCAUACCUGACAGAGAAGU
This is a long non-coding RNA of Mercenaria mercenaria, 1301 nucleotides long. RefSeq lists it as uncharacterized. Lineage: Eukaryota; Metazoa; Mollusca; Bivalvia; Venerida; Veneridae. The record is from RefSeq and is a predicted model, not a curated record. The transcript is spliced from 4 exons.